CUCAGACUGCUGUGCUAGCAAUCAGCGAGACUCCGUGGGAGUAGGACCCUCCGAGCCAGGUGUGGGAUAUAAUCUCGUGGUGCGCCAUUUUUCAAGCCCGUCAGAAAAGCGCAGUAUUCGGGUGGGAGUGACCCGAUUUUCCAGGAGUCCUAACCUAAAAUAAAAUAGAACAUACUGUGCUUAAAGCAAGGGGGGAAUCAUGUAACAAUAAAACCAGUGAAGAAAAUUCUAAUGCUCAGGUAAGGCCUCAGAAAAAGUGGAAAACAGCUGGUCCUCAGGAUCCUCCAGCCUUUGCCAAGGAAAAGUGGUUUUAAUCACUGAAGAAUGAGGCUUCAACAUAUGGAAAGACUGUAAGGUCAUUCACUUUGGGAGAAGCCAGUCUUCAUGCCAUGAGGACGUUCAGGCAGCCCUGUGGAGAGAACCACAUGGAAAGGAUCUGAGGUCUCUCACCAGCACCAAUUUGCCAGCUAUGGGAAUGGGCCACCUUGGAAGGAGACUGUCCAGCCCAAGUGAAGGCUGCAGAUAACUGCAGCUUUGGCCAACAUUUGGCUAUAUUGCUUUGGGAAAUCUCAAGCCAGAACCAUCUGGCCAAGCUGCUCUUAAAUUCCUGAUCCACAGAAGUUUUGGAAGGUAACAAGACACACAAUUCUUACAGAUCCCUCAAGAGCUGUUUGAAAAAUAGUGGAUUUUAAAAUCUAGAAGGAGUGUGAAAGGAACCCAGGGGCUUUGCCAAUGGAGUGUCAUCAUUCAGGCCCCAUUUUGAAUCUAAACCAUCUGAUGAACCCUUUGCUGACACAUCAGCCUAUUGCUUCCUGGAAGAAUAAUUUGCACUUCAAGACUAAUUCUGAAACAAUACAAUUGCAAGGAGGAAACACAUUUGGAGUAGAGAAAUUAUAUAUGUAUAUAAAACUUAUUAUCUAACCAGGACAUAUUUGAGGUGCCAGACUAUGUGAGUGAGUGUGCUUUCACAUGACUUCAAUCCCAGCCGUCUGCAUCCAUCUGAGAGAUCCUGAGCCAAAACCUGCCCAACCAAGUCACUCCUGAGUCCCUGACCCACAAAAACUGUGAGAGAUAAUAAAUGAUUGUUAUAGUUUGAAGCCA
Molecule: long non-coding RNA, 1101 nt
Filed under: Homo sapiens (human)
Lineage: Eukaryota; Metazoa; Chordata; Mammalia; Primates; Hominidae
Description: HSALNT0280633
Source: RNAcentral